CCUACGGGCGACAGCAGUGGGGGAUAUUGCACAAUGGGGGAAACCCUGAUGCAGCGACGCCGCGUGGGUGAAGAAGGAUUUCGGGAUGGAAAGCCCUAUCAGCAGGGAAGAAGAAAUGACGGUACCUGAGUAAGAAGCACCGGCUAAAUACGUGCCAGCAGCCGCGGUAAUACGUAUGGUGCAAGCGUUAUCCGGAUUUACUGGGUGGAAAGGGAGCGCAGGCGGCACGGCAAGCCUGAUGUGAAAGCCCGCGGCCCAACCGCGGGACUGCAUUGGGAACUACCGGGCUGGAGUGCCGGAGAGGUAGGCGGAAUUCCUAGUGUAGCGGUGAAAUGCGUAGAUAUUAGGAGGAACACCAGUGGCGAAGGCGGCCUACUGGACGGUGACUGACGCUGAGGCUCGAAAGCGUGGGGAGCAAACAGGAUUAGAUACCCCGGUAGUC
RNAcentral lists this ribosomal RNA (442 nucleotides) under uncultured bacterium. RNAcentral's name for it is "partial 16S ribosomal RNA". It matches the Rfam family "Bacterial small subunit ribosomal RNA", at positions 338 to 795 of the family's 1533-position model. The record is from RNAcentral.